GUGCUCGCUUCGGCAGCACAUAUACUAAAAUUGGAACGAUACAGAGAAGAUUAUCAUGGCCCCUGCGCAAGGAUGACAUGUAAAAUGAGAUCAUUUUAGCAUGAGU
Rhinolophus ferrumequinum (greater horseshoe bat) is the source of this 106-nucleotide small nuclear RNA. The record is from Ensembl. Lineage: Eukaryota; Metazoa; Chordata; Mammalia; Chiroptera; Rhinolophidae.